Molecule: ribosomal RNA, 331 nt
Filed under: uncultured Chloroflexota bacterium
Lineage: Bacteria; Bacillati; Chloroflexota
Description: bacterial SSU rRNA
Rfam family: Bacterial small subunit ribosomal RNA
Source: RNAcentral
GAUGAACGCUGGCGGCGUGCUUAAUACAUGCAAGUCGAACGAGGAACUUUUGUCUUCGGAUAGAGGUUUCCUAGUGGCGAACGGGUGAGUAACGCGUUGGUGACCUGCCCCGAAGUGGGGGAUAACAGUUCGAAAGGACUGCUAAUACCUCAUGAUAUCAAUUGGAUUAGAUGCCUUUUGAUCAAAGGCGUAAGCCGCUUUGGGAGGGACCUGCGUCCCAUCAGCUAGUUGGUAGGGUAAUGGCCUACCAAGGCUAAGACGGGUAGGGGACCUGAGAGGGUGGACCCCCACACUGGCACUGAAACACGGGCCAGACACCUACGGGUGGCUG